UCGAGAAUCUGCCUCCGGGCAAUCUCCCACCCUUUGUUUACAUACCAUGUUGCUUUGGCAGGCCCGCCUCUGGGCCGCCGGCUUUCUGCUGGCCCGUGCCUGCCAGAGGCUAUCAAACUCUUGUUUAUGUGUUGUCUGAGUAAAUAUAUAAUAGUUA
RNAcentral lists this unclassified non-coding RNA (157 nucleotides) under uncultured fungus. Its description in RNAcentral is "sequence contains ITS1, 5.8S rRNA gene". The record is from RNAcentral. Lineage: Eukaryota; Fungi.